AGAGUUUGAUCCUGGCUCAGAUUGAACGCUGGCGGCAUGCCUUACACAUGCAAGUCGAACGGUAACAGGUUAAGCUGACGAGUGGCGAACGGGUGAGUAAUGCAUCGGAACGUGCCCAGUCGUGGGGGAUAACUACUCGAAAGAGUGGCUAAUACCGCAUACGACCUGAGGGUGAAAGCGGGGGACCGUAAGGCCUCGCGCGAUUGGAGCGGCCGAUGUCAGAUUAGCUAGUUGGUGGGGUAAAGGCCUACCAAGGCAACGAUCUGUAGUUGGUCUGAGAGGACGACCAGCCACACUGGGACUGAGACACGGCCCAGACUCCUACGGGAGGCAGCAGUGGGGAAUUUUGGACAAUGGGCGCAAGCCUGAUCCAGCAAUGCCGCGUGCAGGAAGAAGGCCUUCGGGUUGUAAACUGCUUUUGUCAGGGAAGAAAUCCUCUGGGCUAAUACCUCGGGGGGAUGACGGUACCUGAAGAAUAAGCACCGGCUAACUACGUGCCAGCAGCCGCGGU
This 511-nucleotide ribosomal RNA is filed under the name Burkholderiales sp. oral clone 3RH-37. RNAcentral describes it as "bacterial SSU rRNA". It matches the Rfam family "Bacterial small subunit ribosomal RNA", at positions 8 to 521 of the family's 1533-position model. Lineage: Bacteria; Pseudomonadati; Pseudomonadota; Betaproteobacteria; Burkholderiales. The record is from RNAcentral.